This 550-nucleotide long non-coding RNA is filed under the name Homo sapiens (human). Its description in RNAcentral is "HSALNT0349164". The record is from RNAcentral. Lineage: Eukaryota; Metazoa; Chordata; Mammalia; Primates; Hominidae.
UAAACAUUUUAGCAAUUUCUUCUUUCCUGCCUGCUGAAGACUGACUUCCUCCUGCUGCCAAAGUUCUAGAGUCUGGACGUCUGAGAUCAGGGUGCCAGCACUGUCGAGGUCACAGACUGCAGACCUCCUUGUAUCUUCAAAUGGAGGAAAGAGGACAAGAGAGCUCCUGUGGUCCCUUUUAUCAAGAUGAAUGCACAAGGAAAAUGUUGUACAUUUGCACAUUGGAGUACACUUCAGCCAUAAAAAGAAUGAGAUGCUGUCAUUUGCAACAACAGGUCAACAGCAAUCUGAGACACACUCUUCUCAUGGCAGAUUAUGGGACCAUAAAGCAGUCUCACUCUGUCGCCCAGGCUGGAGUUCAGUGGCAUGAUCUCGGCUCACUGCAACCUCUGCCUCCCCGGUUCAAGCGAUUCUCCUGCCUCAGCAUCCCAAGCAGCUGGAAUUACAACCACAUGCCACCAUGACCAGCUAAUUUUUGUAUUUUUAGUAGAGGCGAGGUUUCACCACAUUGGUCAGGCUGGAAUUGCAUCUUUUUAAUGACUGUAGGCCA